This is a long non-coding RNA of Brienomyrus brachyistius, 2344 nucleotides long. RefSeq lists it as uncharacterized. The transcript is spliced from 4 exons. Lineage: Eukaryota; Metazoa; Chordata; Actinopteri; Osteoglossiformes; Mormyridae. The record is from RefSeq and is a predicted model, not a curated record.
GGCUCUGUGAUGUGCCGCAAACCGGCCUUGUCUUUUCAGUGUAAUGUAGGUAUCCCUGACGCAGCUGGGGCUCUGUGAUGUGCCGCAAACCGGCCUUGUCUUUUCAGUGUAAUGUAGGUAUCCCUGACGCAGCUGGGGCUCUGUGAUGUGCCGCAAACCGGCCUUGUCUUUUCAGUGUAAUGUAGGUAUCCCUGACGCAGCUGGGGCUCUGUGAUGUGCCACAAACCGGCCUUGUCGUUUCAGUGUAAUGUAGGUAUCCCUGACGCAGCUGGUGCUCUGUCAUGUGCCGCAAACCGGCCUUGUCGUUUCAGUGUAAUGUAGGUAUCCCUGACGCAGCUGGUGCUCUGUGAUAUGCCGCAAACCGGCCUUGUCUUUUCAGUGUAAUGUAGGUAUCCCUGACGCAGCUGGGGCUCUGUGAUGUGCCACAAACCGGCCUUGUCUUUUCAGUGUAAUGUAGGUAUCCCUGACGCAGCUGGUGCUCUGUGAUGUGCCGCAAACCGGCCUUGUCGUUUCAGUGUAAUGUAGGUAUCCCUGACGCAGCUGGUGCUCUGUGAUGUGCCGCAAACCGGCCUUGUCUUUUCAGUGUAAUGUAGGUAUCCCUGACGCAGCUGGGGCUCUGUGAUGUGCCACAAACCGGCCUUGUCGUUUCAGUGUAAUGUAGGUAUCCCUGACGCAGCUGGUGCUCUGUCAUGUGCCGCAAACCGGCCUUGUCGUUUCAGUGUAAUGUAGGUAUCCCUGACGCAGCUGGUGCUCUGUGAUAUGCCGCAAACCGGCCUUGUCUUUUCAGUGUAAUGUAGGUAUCCCUGACGCAGCUGGUGGUCUGUGAUGUGCCGCAAACCGGCCUUGUCGUUUCAGUGUAAUAUAGGUAUCCUUGAUGCAGCUUUUACAGAGCUGUCCAAUGGCUGGCCUUCAGCCCCAUCAGCUGUGACAGACGUGCGAACCAACGUUCUAUUUUGGUCCUGGCGUCUCACUGCCAAUGGUGGCCCAGCAGAAUCAGGCCAGCUGGUACGUUUGAUUGCUUCUGCUGGAAAUCCCUCCCUCUGUCUCUGUCUUUGCGAAAUAACAGGCAAAUGUCGAAUGAAAACAUUGCGCUCAGGUGUGCUGAGUUAAAGGAGGUCUUUCAGAGUUUUCACUGUAAUCUUGUUUUAAGCUGUGUGAACAUUCGACUUUCAAAGUAGGUCAGACGAUGCAGGCACUGUGCCCUAACGCAGGGGAGCUGGUGAAUACGCACAUACGCACAUCCGGCACCGAGUAACAGCUGCUCCAUGAAAGCACUGUCUGCAUCAGGACUCCUGGUGGCUCAGCAGGCUUCUGCGACAGCAUCCUCCCUUAAUUAGCGCUCUCUUAAUUUCUUUGUUUAAAUGUGCCAUUUUUGGAAAGGCAUUGGUUUUAAUAACAUGGGUAACUGAGAAAGUCGAGCCGGGAAAUGAGGUAAAAUGACAUCCAACGGAGCUGUGUGUGAGAGCCCGCUGUUCCGUCUCUCGCUUUCUGCUGAAGGUCGCCUCGAUGGCUGAGAUGGCACGUCUUAAUGACUCACUGCUCCUGAGCGUGGAACAAGCACUCUAAUUCCAGGUGCCCUGGUAGGCUCUCCGGGCACGAAGGAACAUGUCGUUCCGGUGACCAACACGGCGUGUUGCACCUGUGACAGGGUCCUGGGCAGGCGUCGGCUCCUGCAUGUGACCCCCUCCAGCGGGCUGGUCGGCUUGCACCGCACUCACACCAUGCACCCGUGACAGGGUCCUGGGCAGGCGUCGGUUCCUGCAUGUGACCCCCUCCGGCGGCCCUGUCCUCACUCGGCACCCUAAAUUGUCUGUCGUUUGCUCAAUUGGCCCGAUUGUGGGGCUUAAUCUGUUGAUGAUACAGUGCCGGCAGCCAAAGCAGCCGCUGGACCGGGCCCAAAGGGGCACUGGGCCUGGGCCCCUUCGAUCCAGCUCUAGUCUACUGCCUCAUUAGUGGCGGCUCAGUGCCUCUUCGAUCCACCUGAAGGAGCAGCGCCUUCGGGCCCGGCACCGGCGUGUGGUGUGGUCCUGCUCCGCACCCUAAUCCUCAGCCUGCUCUCCAUAUUUAUGUAUUACAGAGCACAAGAUGCCGUGUCUUUGUCUUCCAAGUGGCAAAGCAGGCAGUGUGAGUCAGACUUUUAGGAGAGUAUGCCACCUCCCCUGUUUCACCUUUAAUUAUGAAUCUAGUACUGUUAUGCAUGAUCCUAGACGUGACAUUGAAUACCACAUGCUGAGGCUUGGUGUUUGUCAUUUUGCUGUAUGUUCUGAGGCACGUGUCUGUGUGUGUGUGUGGCGGUCUGCUGGCCGUGCUCCAUGCAGGCCUCCCCUUAAGCCCUCCCUCUCCU